CAGGAAUGGUUGGUGGGUAAGCCAGGACAAGUGCCUUCCACUUGGGACAUGCAUGUACCUCCAUGUGCAGCGAUCAGUCAGCGAUCAGGCAGCGAUCAGUCUCUAGGACUUGAGAGCCAUUGAGACCCAAAGGGGAGAAACACAUCUGGGACCCUGGUGCAGUAAAGGUGGAGAGAAGCAAUGGAGGAGAAAUGGGAGUUAUUCUCUCUCCAAGAAUUCAGUCCCACUAGGUCUGGUCAGGGAAGAAAGGUGAGGCCAGGGAGAAAGGCGCACAAGAACACUGACUACCCCAAGCCAACUGAACACCAGCUUCACCAAGGACAGCCAGCUGAAAUUAUCGAUCGCCCUCUGACUCUGUAUGGAAGGGGCCUCCCCAUGAUUAGAUUCUGCUACAGUGAUACAGAGGAAAUCAGGUCCCCUUGGGGGUUCUUAGUCUCAUUAAUAAAAGAUUUUAAGGGUACAGGGAUAAUUGUAUUAACGUUUAAAGAAAAAACUGCAGGCAGACAAUGGCUGCCUGGAGGAGAAAAGGAAGAAAAA
RNAcentral lists this long non-coding RNA (537 nucleotides) under Rattus norvegicus (Norway rat). RNAcentral describes it as "long non-coding RNA NONRATT010271". Lineage: Eukaryota; Metazoa; Chordata; Mammalia; Rodentia; Muridae. The record is from RNAcentral.